AGACGGAGGGUCCUAGCGUUGUUCGGAAUGACUGGGCGUAAAGGGUACGUAGGCGGUUUGGUCAGUUAGAUGUGAAAGCCCAGGGCUCAACCUUGGAACUGCAUUUAAUACUGCCAAACUUGAGAUCGGAAGAGGAAAGCGGAAUUUCUAGUGUAGAGGUGAAAUUCGUGGAUAUUAGAAGGAACAUCAGAGGCGAAGGCGGCUUUCUGGUCCGAUACUGACGCUGAGGUACGAAAGCGUGGGGAGCAAACAGGAUUAGAAACCCUAGUAGUCC
Molecule: ribosomal RNA, 274 nt
Filed under: uncultured bacterium
Lineage: Bacteria
Description: partial 16S ribosomal RNA
Rfam family: Bacterial small subunit ribosomal RNA
Source: RNAcentral